This 888-nucleotide ribosomal RNA is filed under the name Icmadophila japonica. RNAcentral describes it as "eukaryotic LSU rRNA". It matches the Rfam family "Eukaryotic large subunit ribosomal RNA", at positions 44 to 960 of the family's 3401-position model. Lineage: Eukaryota; Fungi; Ascomycota; Lecanoromycetes; Pertusariales; Icmadophilaceae. The record is from RNAcentral.
CAAUAAGCGGAGGAAAAGAAACCAACAGGGAUUGCCUCAGUAACGGCGAGUGAAGCGGCAACAGCUCAAAUUUGAAAUCCGACUUCGGUCCGAGUUGUAAUUUGUAGAGGGUAUUUGGAAAGCGAUAUUGGCCUAAGUCCCUUGGAACAGGGCCUCGCAGAGGGUGAGAAUCCCGUAUGUGGCUACAUAUCAAUUUCAUGUCAAAUCCCUUCGACGAGUCGAGUUGUUUGGGAAUGCAGCUCAAAAUGGGUGGUAAAUUUCAUCUAAAGCUAAAUACUGGCCAGAGACCGAUAGCGCACAAGUAGAGUGAUCGAAAGAUGAAAAGCACUUUGGAAAGAGAGUUAAAAAGUACGUGAAAUUGUUGAAAGGGAAGCGCUUGCCAUUAGACCGAUCCACGAGCUGCAGUCGGAGGUAACUCUUGACGUAAAGCACUCGUUUUUCGGCCAGCAUCAGUUUUGAUGGUUCGAAAAAGACGAUGAGAACGUGGCUCUUCGGAGUGUUAUAGCUCAACGUGUAAUGGAAUCUAUUGGGACUGAGGACCGCGCUUUGGCUAGGAUGCUGGCGUAAUUAUGGCAAGCGACCCGUCUUGAAACACGGACCAAGGAGUCGAUCAUCUAUGCAAGUGUUUGGGUGGAAAACCCAUACGCGGAAUGAAAGUGAACGGAGGUGAGAACCGUAAGGUGCAUCAUCGACCGAUCCUGAUGUUUUCGGAUGGAUUUGAGUAUGAGCAUAGCCGAUCGGACCCGAAAGAUGGUGAACUAUACGUGAAUAGGGUGAAGCCAGAGGAAACUCUGGUGGAGGCUCGCAGCGGUUCUGACGUGCAAAUCGAUCGUCAAAUUUGCGUAUAGGGGCGAAAGACCAAUCGAACUAUCUAGUAGCUGGUUCCUG